Lagopus muta (rock ptarmigan) is the source of this 3954-nucleotide long non-coding RNA. RefSeq lists it as uncharacterized. The transcript has 4 exons. Lineage: Eukaryota; Metazoa; Chordata; Aves; Galliformes; Phasianidae. The record is from RefSeq and is a predicted model, not a curated record.
GUGUUGCAUUUCCAAGUAGACAUGUUUGUUCUGCUUUGCAUUGGUGAAAUGUGAAGAACCGUUUGUCUCUUGAAAUUUCUAAAGAAUAAAAAUCGUUUUCACUUUACUGAGAAAUUCUGAGAAAUUCUAUUCAGAUGAGAACAGCUGCUAUUAACAAAGCAUCACAAGUUUGGAGUGGGUCCAGAGGAGGGUCACAAAGAUGAUCAGAGGGUUGGAGCAUCUCUACUGUGAAGAAAGGUUGAGGAAAUUGGACUUUUUGAGCCUGGAGAAGCCUCCAGGGAGACCCAUUGUGGCCUUUGGAACUGGAUAAUCUUCAUGGUACCUUCGAAGGUGUGUAAGGUGUUGCCUCAUUAAUACUUCCAAAACACCAAGGAUAAGUCAAUGGAAAAUCAAUAUGCAGGAAUGUAUGAGGAUUUUUUGGACAAGUGCUACUUCUUUGGAAAAUCAGUUGGAGUCAGCUAAUAUGCUGAAACCCUUUUCUAGAAAAACCAACCAGCAGGAAAAUGAAGCGAUUGAAAAAUAUGGAGAAGAAGAAAUGAAUGAUCUACACAUCAAGCCUGAAGUACAUAAAAGAAUGGGCAAAGAUACACAUUUCUACUUGCAAUUCAAAAUGUAUUGUAUGGAUAAAUAACCUCCAGCUUCCAAGCAAGAGUUCACCAGAUUUCAAAGUCAGUAUUGCAAGGACACCAGUCAGGAAUAAUGAGCUAUGGCCAAAAACCAUAUGUGAUGACCAGAUGCUACAACUGAUAUUGGCAGCUGUCAUAACUGGAGGAGCCCACACACAGAAAAAGUGUGACAUGAAGCUGCUUUUUCUCUAUUUGUAGUCCGAAUGUUCUUUUGGGACACUUCAGCAAUGGGGACAAAGGACAAUUUUUGAGAAAAUGAAGGAAUUUCAAAGGAAACAGACAGCUUCUGUGGGACUGAUGCAAUCAAACUGAUAGAAGUUUUUUGUGACCUGUAGCUGGAAAAUCUGUGAAGAUCAUAACAGAAUAUGUAGCUAUUUACUAAAUCAAAGAAAAGCAGAGAAAAACACUUGAAAAGUACUUGCAGCUAUUUACUAAGAAGAAAAAUGUAUGCUCAUUAUUCUAAAGAAUAUUUUAACAAUGGGUCUGGAAAAAAAAAAAUAGAAAAUAUUUCAGUAUUUCCUUUUGUGCUAUUCAGACCAAAGCUUAAUUAUUGUGACAGAUGACAGAAGUUAUGGGAUCUAAACCCAUUUAAAUGAGGAUGCCAAGUACAUCCACAGAAGCAGUUUUUAAUCCAGCAUACCAUUUUCUGAAUUUUGGUACAUUCAAUUUGUCUCAUACAACAUGUCCAAGAGUGCCAUCUAAUGAUGUUCAGUAAAAUUCUUAAUUCAGUCUUACAUCUUUGGCAAAAUACAGAAAUGUGAUGCCAAUAGGAACGCCGCAGCAGCAUAGCAAAAUUGUUAGAGGAUCAUUUUCCUUAAUUUAAUGUUAUUUAAUUCCCUGCCGGUUUGAAUAUCUGGCAAUAAGUAAAAAAAUAUUUCUUUUUAAAUGAUAUAGCUGUGAUGAAAAAUCUAUUAACAGAAAAUGCUACAAAGUUUCAUUAUGUAAUACGACAAAAAUUGAUCUAUAAAUGUUUAUUUAUGGAUUGUAUGUUCACUCAGAUUUAUCAGCAGGCUGCACAUUCAUGCCACUUGCAAAUUCUUAUCUGAACUUGUUUCUAAAUGCCUUGCAAAUAAAAGCUCCUAUAAAUACUGGAGUUUGAUCCAAAGCCAUUAAAAUCAGUAAGAUCAACAAUUUGAUUGAUUUCAAAAGGCUACAUAUCAUGUACUUGAAUAUAUCAGUUAUCUUGAUUUUUUGCCAUGCUGUAUGUAAUCAUUUAUUAUUAAAAAUAACAUUUAUUUAAUCUUUCUAAGACUGUCUGAAUAUUAUUGCAUAAAACAAGGGAAGAAAUGCUUUUGCAAGAGUAAAUUAUAACUUCCUUCCCUAAAAGAUUACUUAAAGAUUUAUCAAAAUAGUAGGUGAUACAAGAGGAAAUAAAAUGUUUUGGGUAUUUUUUGUUUUUGGUUUUUUUUUGAAUCUGUUCUCCACAUUGCUGCUUGUAUACCGUAUGCAUUGAAUUGAACUGGAAUUGAACUGGAGACUGGUGAGGGCAAGGAAGAAUUAUUCUCACUUUUAAACACUGCAUUUUCUGCUUUUAUUUAAACCUUCAUUGUGCAUCAACAAGCAAAAAUUAUAAGCAAAUUAUUAUGAUGCUACUGAUAGCAUUAAAUACUCAGGAAUCUUGACUGAUUUAACAUUGAACUCCACACUUUGCACUAUCAUUAUGAAAGACUACUUUGUAAAUAGAGUGCAUAUUUUCAUGCAUGGGAGCAUAUAUUCUUUUAAGUUCUAUGAAGUCCUCAAACUACACCAGCAAUGCUGGACUCCAUUGGCUUGGCUUUUUGGAAGUAGUUCAUCCCGUAUGCUAUCACAAUAUGGAGAAAUGAUUCACUUCACAAUAUUAACAUUAAGAUGAUUGUUACCUGGCAUUUCAAACACCAGGAUGAGUGAGUGACUUAACAUUUCUCAUAGAUCCAGCUCUUGAUGUAAUCAUUUCUGUACCAGAAAUUUCUGUACCAGAAAUGAUUCAUGUAAGAAUCAUGUUUCAUGUCAGACCUCAUGUAAGGGCAGAGUGUCAUGGCUAUAACAACAGAAAACUAACAAAAAACAAACAAACAAACAAACAACAACAACAACAAAAGAGACUGAAAAAUGCAGUAUAGAUUUCAUUUAAGGUAUCCACAACUUUUCAGAGACUACUUGUGGUUUCUAAGGUUUAAAGGCCAUAGUAAGCAAAACCAUGAGUAGUGCAUGUGAAGGUGUAUCCACGAAAAAUAUAUUUUAUCAGUACUUGACAAAAUUCUGCUGUGCUUUUCAUUCAUGCUCCUAAAGUUUGUGACAGAAAUCCAAUAUUUAAAGUGUGCUGGUUGAAAUAAAAAGGUUGUGAGAAUGAAAAUUUAAUGUAUAUUCACUGAAAUAUGUAACAAUAAUUAUCAAGUGUAAACUAUAAACAACUACUGUCAGGUAUAAACUAUAAAUGUUUCACAUUUUUGUCAUUCAAAUUAGCUGUAAGUGGGGUGAAAGAAGACUCCAGCAAUGUAAGAUUCAGUUUAAUGAUCUUUGAAAUAAUAUGUUUCACAGAUAUAGUGAUGAAUACACCCAAAAAUAUGACACUCGAUAUUCCUUAUUUGUUGGGGAAUAACAGCAUCAGUUUUAGUUGUUUAAAGCGGAUUUAUGAUAUUAUUGGUCCAAAUCCAUGAGUGCACUUCUAUCAUCAAGACAAAAAAUCCUUAUGGGCAGUAACGAACUUCAUCCUCAUAUUCUUUUCCCUCCUGCUGGAAGGAUUUUGCUCUUUGCAUCUUUGAGAUCACUUCAGUAACUUUCUCCUUGCUCAUUCUUUCAAAUAUAGCCACAAGGCAUAUUGAGAAUCAAAAUUGCUUCAAUACUUGACAGUACUGGUUUCUUAAAUCCUUCCUUAUUCCUGUACUGUAGGAUGAAAGUCAGGAUUUGCAAGUGAAAGAGUUGGAGUUUUUCAUUCGAGAUUCAUUAACUUAAUUGGUGAAACUGUUUUGAGAUUUGUAAGCAUGCUGUGGGACUUAGAAAUACUUUGUGAGAUUUGCAAAAUACAUAAACCUUCCAACUUCAAUGACAUAUGUCUGAAAUUGGCCGAAUAUCAUACAAAAAGCUUAAAACAGUUAGUUUUAGAAAUUCCUCUUCAGUGUUUCAUAGUUCACAACUUACAUAUUCAUACAGAGAUUUAGCUCUUGACAAGACAGGUUCUGCUGUUGUUUUUCACCUGAAAUGAUGACUGAUGGCAAAGGAUCAGAUGGUUGAGUAUCAUGUUUUGGACUGUGGGAGAACAGCUAGGAAGAGAGUGCUUGGCAUUGCUGGAAGACGUAGGGUCAGACCCUGUGCAAAGACCAUUACGAGAGAUUUUUCUCCAGGUCAUAUC